This 677-nucleotide ribosomal RNA is filed under the name uncultured Bacilli bacterium. RNAcentral describes it as "bacterial SSU rRNA". It matches the Rfam family "Bacterial small subunit ribosomal RNA", at positions 66 to 726 of the family's 1533-position model. The record is from RNAcentral. Lineage: Bacteria; Bacillati; Bacillota; Bacilli.
ACGCUGAAGAGAGGAGCUUGCUCUUCUUGGAAGAAUUGCGAACGGGUGAGUAACGCGUAGGUAACCUGCCUUGUAGCGGGGGAUAACUAUUGGAAACGAUAGCUAAUACCGCAUAACAAUGGGUGACCCAUGUCAUUCAUUUGAAAGGGGCAACUGCUCCACUACAAGAUGGACCUGCGUUGUAUUAGCUAGUAGGUGAGGUAACGGCUCACCUAGGCGACGAUACAUAGCCGACCUGAGAGGGUGAUCGGCCACACUGGGACUGAGACACGGCCCAGACUCCUACGGGAGGCAGCAGUAGGGAAUCUUCGGCAAUGGGGGCAACCCUGACCGAGCAACGCCGCGUGAGUGAAGAAGGUUUUCGGAUCGUAAAGCUCUGUUGUAAGUCAAGAACGAGUGUGAGAGUGGAAAGUUCACACUGUGACGGUAGCUUACCAGAAAGGGACGGCUAACUACGUGCCAGCAGCCGCGGUAAUACGUAGGUCCCGAGCGUUGUCCGGAUUUAUUGGGCGUAAAGCGAGCGCAGGCGGUUUGAUAAGUCUGAAGUUAAAGGCUGUGGCUCAACCAUAGUUCGCUUUGGAAACUGUCAAACUUGAGUGCAGGAGGGGAGAGUGGAAUUCCAUGUGUAGCGGUGAAAUGCGUAGGUAUAUGGAGGAACACCGGUGGCGAAAGCGGCU